UGUAACAGUUUAUUAAAACCAGUUGGAGAAAUGCUAAUAUCUUUUAUAGUAAUCACUUCCUUGUUUCUGUUUCUAGCUUUAUCAUCUAAGCAUUCGCUCCUGCACAUUAUAUGUUCCCCUAACCAUCAUUUGGCGCCUCCGCUGGUCUCAGUGUCUUGCCUGGAUGUAUGACCCUGACCUUCAUCCCAGAGAGGUCAGCAUCCCCUUUUUGGGUCUUGCCUGCUGUACUUUUCCACGCAACCAACACAGGGCCGGAGAGCAGCAAGAGAAGGCCACGCAGAACCCGAGACCGCACCCUUCCCUGCCCUCCCUGUCGACACCGAGUCUCCCUCCUCCCAGGCCUCGCGUGGCAGGAAGUACCCGCAGUGAGUGAAGCUGGCAGUGAACGCUGCAUCAGACCCGCAGAACGAGUUUCCAAGGCCACCUGAAAGAUGAUUCACACCUUGGUUUUAAGAGGGAAGGACGCGGGAGCGCGCCCAGAGCGUGUGGACGCUGGGCGGGAGCCGGGAGCUCCUGGACCAGCUCCCGGAGGAGGAACGCGGCCUGGGGUCUGGGCCUCCGCUUGCUGUCGCUUCUGCUGCCGCUGCCGAGCAGGAGCAGGCUGACAGGGAGAAGUGCUUUGCAAGCUGAGGAAUUGCAGCUGCCUCCAGCCCCGCCUGCCCGCGCCCUGAGCCUGGGACAGCUGACUGCGCACCCCGCACACGCUCAGGAUCCUUGUUUGGUGGCUGUCACCAUGGUGAUUGGAGCUGGACUGCCCUGCCCGCGCGGGGUGAGGGGAACCCCAGCCUGAGCUUCCCCUCUGUGGUCCAGCAGAGGCGAGGCGGGGCAGGCAUGCAAGCCUGGAUGUCUGAGCCCGCCCAGAGCAGUGGAAACUGGGCAGGAGCCCUGUUCUCCUGGACCAGCUACCCGUGGAGGAACACGGCCUCGGAUCUGGGCCGCCUCUGUGGCCUCUGCUGCCUUCACCCGGCAGCCUCUCCAGCAUUUCUCCUUUGUGGACUUUUGAAUGACGGCCUUUCUGACUGGUGCGAGCUGUCCCGUUUCCCCUGUGUCAUUUGCUGAAGAGACUGUCUUUACUCCACUCUAUGUUGUUCCUGCCUUGUUUAUCGAAGAUGAAUUGACCAGAAGUUUGUGGGUUUUCUCUCUGGACCCUAUAUUCUGUUCCCUUGAUCCGUAUGUCUGUUCCCUCACCACCCCCCCAACUUUUCCAGUUUUA
This is a long non-coding RNA of Camelus dromedarius (Arabian camel), 1213 nucleotides long. RefSeq lists it as uncharacterized. Lineage: Eukaryota; Metazoa; Chordata; Mammalia; Artiodactyla; Camelidae. The transcript is spliced from 8 exons. The record is from RefSeq and is a predicted model, not a curated record.